CGUGAGUAACCUGCCCUGGAGUGGGGAAUAACAGCUGGAAACAGCUGCUAAUACCGCAUAAUGCAGUUGGGCCGCAUGGCUCUGACUGCCAAAGAUUUAUCGCUCUGGGAUGGACUCGCGUCUGAUUAGCUAGUUGGUGGGGCAACGGCCCACCAAGGCGACGAUCAGUAGCCGGACUGAGAGGUUGGCCGGCCACAUUGGGACUGAGACACGGCCCAAACUCCUACGGAAGGCAGCAG
This 239-nucleotide ribosomal RNA is filed under the name uncultured bacterium. RNAcentral's name for it is "partial 16S ribosomal RNA". It matches the Rfam family "Bacterial small subunit ribosomal RNA", at positions 116 to 354 of the family's 1533-position model. The record is from RNAcentral.